UACGUAGGGCGCAAGCGUUAUCCGGAAUUACUGGGCGUAAAGCGUGCGCAGGCGGUUUUGUAAGCCAGAUGUGAAAUCCCCGGGCUUAACCUGGGAAUGGCAUUUGGGACUGCAAGGCUGGAGUGCGGCAGAGGAGACUGGAAUUCCUGGUGUAGCAGUGAAAUGCGUAGAUAUCAGGAGGAACACCGAUGGCGAAGGCAGGUCUCUGGGCUGACACUGACGCUCAUGCACGAAAGCGUGGGGAGCAAACAGG
RNAcentral lists this ribosomal RNA (253 nucleotides) under uncultured bacterium. Its description in RNAcentral is "partial 16S ribosomal RNA". It matches the Rfam family "Bacterial small subunit ribosomal RNA", at positions 524 to 776 of the family's 1533-position model. The record is from RNAcentral.